Long non-coding RNA from Xenopus laevis (African clawed frog), 3397 nucleotides. RefSeq lists it as uncharacterized. The record is from RefSeq and is a predicted model, not a curated record. Lineage: Eukaryota; Metazoa; Chordata; Amphibia; Anura; Pipidae. The transcript has 3 exons.
AAAAUAGGCAUGGUCAAAAAAAUUAACCACACAACUUCUUUGUCCCUCCUUUUAUUUCCAAAAUGUUGGGCGGUAUGAGAUAAGGACGCAAAUUGAUGUCACAUAAGUCAAGUACAGUGCCGUAACUACCGGGAGAGCAGGGGGUGCGAUUGAGCCAGGGCCCGCUCCCCUCUAGUUAUGUUGCUGGUCAAGUAGCAGAGACAGGAGGGGGUGAGAGAGAAAUAGAGAGAGAAGGGAGGGUGAGGUGGGAGCAGCUAGACGAGUUCAAAUUCCUUUGGCUUGAGGGGAAGUCGCUGCUAAGUUUCCACAGGAGCCUGGAGAAGCAGUGACGCUGCGACACUAACACAGAGCAACAAGUGCAAUAAGAGAGCGUGUGUCAGAGAGCAGUGCACUACCUUCCUGUCACAUAGACUCAUGGAUAACUUCCAGGCACAGCCGCACUGACACACAUUUCUAAUUACUCUGCUUUAUCACUGCCUCGUGGCUAUUGUUUAUCGGGACUCCUGCUCCAAGCGUCUGAUUGGACAGAGAUCACGGGACUAGCAGCCAAAUGAUCAUUGGCUACCCACAACCAAUAAGGAAAUGACUGCUUCAGGAGAGAGCUGCAUAUGUUCUGGCACCUCCAUGAAUGUCUCCUCCAGGGCCGUCACUGCACGGAGAACCCAGCAGUCCGGAUAAUUAACAACUCCCCCAGCCAUUAUCUCCCUGCAGCUUUUCCCUCCCUGCAGUCUCCCUUGUCUAGCCGCUCCCUCACUGUCACCACAGCCUGUUCAGACGCUCUGCCGACUGCCUCUCCCCAGCCAGCGCGACCUUAAUCCUCCUGGCUGCUCUGUGUGCUACUUCUGGUGCUGUGUGGAGGAACAGCGCUGAGUCAAGGGCGCACACAGUGGCGACUCACAAUACAUUAUAUAAGAUUCCCUCGUUUGUCCUGCUCUCACCUGGUAACUCUACCUGUGGCCCCAGCCCUCCAUACAAUCUCCGCCCACAAACUUUCCCCGUUGCCAGGUAACCCAGAUCACGUGCCCCUGCGGGACUUGGGGCACCGCCGGGGAAUGCUUUCUGCUUGAAGCCGGGACCCGCUCACGUGACGUCUCACCAUGGCGGAUACAAGCAAUCAGCUCAUGUUGGGCGCCGGCCUGACAGUUUUGUCGCACCCGAUGAUGUAUGUGAAGGUGCUGGUGCAGAUGUGAAUCUUUUAAUUGGAGGCCCAACAUACAGCGAUUGUGCCGGCGGUUAUUACUACAGUGAAAGCAGCUUGUCAGCUACAAGGAACAGGUUCAUACACUGAUCUGAAAUACCUGAAAUGUGCUCCCCGGCUCAUUCUUUGAGAGGUGGACUAGUCUGGCCAAUGGACUGUACAAGAGCAGGGAGCUGAUCAGUGGCUACUUCAGUCAAGGGUCCAUUUCAAACCUGCCCAGAUACAUAUGGCUGAGUUUCAAUCAGAUAUGAAUGGGGUUGGCAUAUCACCAGCCUAACCAGUAAUAUAGCAGCCGAGACUGGGACCAGUGUUACACAUUUAACCAGCUAUGUAUUUGCUCAUAAAUUUAUAAUUCCCUGACGUACCACCCCUGUCCUCUCCCUCCCCAAUCCCUGCCGCCAGCUCCGCUUCUUUCCCUUCUUCCUAUAAUCCCGCUCCCAUAUCGACCAUAUUUUCUCCCGAACCACCCCCUCAUUGUCCCUCCCCUUUCUGUACAGCCAGAUUUUUUUUUUUUUCCCAAAAUGGUGACAACCCUAGAUAUUGGUCAGGCAGGACCUUCUGAGGGCCCAUGUAUGAUAAUGUCCCUGGUACAGCACAAGCCCAGUAUAAUGCCUCUUCUGAGCUGACUGGACUGUGCUGGCACCCAGCCUAAAUCAGUGCAAUGGACUGUGAAAACCUGUUGGUGGCGCCUACUCCCGCGAGCAGCGUCUCCUAUUUCCCCUACUCAUGUAUGUCAGUGGGCAUGGGUAUUCUACUACUUCAUUCUAAAGCAUGGGGGCAACACCAUCCAGCAGGGAGGCAGCAAGAUCAACAUGGGAUUCCUUAAAAGCCUGGGCCCAACAGAACUGAGAAGCUUGAUACAGUUGUACCCUGCAAUUACAUAACUUAAGCCUUGCUCUGUCUACCCCCCUCACCCUGUCUGUUAAAGGGCAAGUAAACCCAGGAAUAUCAGGGCAGGGGGGCUGCUGUACUGCCUCUUAUGCCCAACAGCCGUUUCAUUGGUAAAGUUACAUCCCCCCAAUUCAGCAGAACAAAACUUCCUGGUGACUCUGGAUGGACCCUCCUCUUCCCAUUUUCCCAAAGGGAGUGGUAUGUGCAGUGAACCUCGGGGGAGCAGGGUACUAUGGGAAAAUAUUCACUACGGAUCAAAAUGUAGAGAGAUAUUAUGUACGUCUUUGGCCCAGGGCUCCUUGAAUUUCCAGUGGCCUCUAAUAUCCCGCCUGUUAUCAGUAGACCAAUCACGGGAUGGACUGAUGCCCAAUGAAACAUCACACAGACCUGCCCUUCCUCUGCCCAAAUAAUACCAAAGGCAACUUUAUCAUGGGACAAAUGUCUUCUAAUGACAGUGGCAUGUUUAUGGGUCAGCUCUUUCUAGACCCAAUGAGUCCAUUUCUCCUUGGCCCAAAGGAUACUAAUGGCAGUGACAUGUAUAUCCAAGUCCCUGCUAGGCCCAAAAUAACAUAUUAAUAAACACCUUCUGAACCCAGUCUCAUUAUGUACUAAUCCCAGUGAUAUGUUUAUAUAAACUAUAUAUCAUUUGUAUGUGAUUGAUUGACCAAACCUCUGGUAUCAGUGCAGAUCAGUAGGACUAGGUCCCCUCCUUAUAUUUCUUCAUCCUUAGCAUCUCCUUUCACCCAUUUCUCCCACCCCUGCCUCUUGAUUCCACCUUCACUUUUCAGUGACCCUUUUCCCUUGCACUAGAGGUCUCCCUCCUCUGUAAUGUUCCCUGGCAAUACUAUAGAACUAUAACAAAUGCAAGAACACCAAUGAAAUGUGUAUUAACAUAUUUAUUUAUAAAGUGAUUGUUUUAUUUAUGCAUUUUAGAUUAAUUCAUACUAAUUUAGGUUGGGAAGGACUCGCAUCCAUUAGGUUCAAGUUUUAGUGUAAAAGGGAUCUUCCUAUUUAGAAGUUGAUCCAGAGGAAGGCGAAAAACCCCAUCUGAUGCCGGAGCCAAUUUGCCUCAGAGGGGGAAAAAAUUCCUUCCUGACUCCCAAAGGGCAAUCGGACAAGUCCCUGGAUCAACUUAUACUAAGAGUUUAUGUCAGUAUCAGUACUAAGAGUUUAUGUGAGGGUUUAGAGGAGGAGAUGUGACUGGUUGUUGAGUGGAUUGAAAGGAUAGGAAGACAAUUUGAAUAGGAAGAACCACUGAGGAAUUGGUGUUGGGAGAUUGCAGAGAAGCCUUUGUGUAGUGGCGGUUUU